AUAGAACUUCAUAACAAUGCAUAUCUUGCCAAUUAUAAUUGAAAUUCCAUAAAGAAAACACACACCUUCUAUCCCUCUACACUUCAAAAAUAAAUCAUCAAACUUAUCCAACAGAACCUUCACAUGAUCCUCCUUCACUGGAUUUAACAUCUUGACAGCCACUUCAUGGUACUCAUCAUAAUUAUCAGUUGAAUGAUAAUGAGUGGCUAACCAGACAUCACCAAAAGGAC
RNAcentral lists this unclassified non-coding RNA (230 nucleotides) under Hevea brasiliensis (rubber tree). Lineage: Eukaryota; Viridiplantae; Streptophyta; Magnoliopsida; Malpighiales; Euphorbiaceae. The record is from RNAcentral.